Molecule: ribosomal RNA, 247 nt
Filed under: uncultured bacterium
Lineage: Bacteria
Description: partial 16S ribosomal RNA
Rfam family: Bacterial small subunit ribosomal RNA
Source: RNAcentral
AUACGGAGGGUGCAAGCGUUAUCCGGAUUUAUUGGGUUUAAAGGGUCCGUAGGCGGGCUUGUAAGUCAGUGGUGAAAUCUCAUAGCUUAACUAUGAAACUGCCAUUGAUACUGCAGGUCUUGAGUAAAGUAGAAGUGGCUGGAAUAAGUAGUGUAGCGGUGAAAUGCAUAGAUAUUACUUAGAACACCAAUUGCGAAGGCAGGUCACUAUGUUUUAACUGACGCUGAUGGACGAAAGCGUGGGGAGC